RNAcentral lists this ribosomal RNA (253 nucleotides) under uncultured bacterium. RNAcentral describes it as "partial 16S ribosomal RNA". It matches the Rfam family "Bacterial small subunit ribosomal RNA", at positions 524 to 776 of the family's 1533-position model. The record is from RNAcentral.
UACGUAGGGGGCAAGCGUUGUCCGGAAUCAUUGGGCGUAAAGCGCGUGUAGGCGGUCCGGUAAGUCCGCUGUGAAAGUCGGGGGCUUAACCCUCGGAUGCCGGUGGAUACUGUCGGGCUUGAGUACGGAAGAGGCGAGUGGAAUUCCUGGUGUAGCGGUGAAAUGCGCAGAUAUCAGGAGGAAUACCGGUGGUGUAGACGGCUCUCUGGACCGCAACUGACGCUGAGACACGAAAGCGUGGGUAGCAAACAGG